UACGUAUGGUGCAAGCGUUAUCCGGAUUUACUGGGUGUAAAGGGAGCGCAGGCGGCACGGCAAGCCUGAUGUGAAAGCCCGCGGCCCAACCGCGGGACUGCAUUGGGAACUACUGGGCUGGAGUGCCGGAGAGGUAGGCGGAAUUCCUAGUGUAGCGGUGAAAUGCGUAGAUAUUAGGAGGAACACCAGUGGCGAAGGCGGCCUACUGGACGGUGACUGACGCUGAGGCUCGAAAGCGUGGGGAGCAAACAGG
This 253-nucleotide ribosomal RNA is filed under the name uncultured bacterium. RNAcentral's name for it is "partial 16S ribosomal RNA". It matches the Rfam family "Bacterial small subunit ribosomal RNA", at positions 524 to 776 of the family's 1533-position model. The record is from RNAcentral.